GAGUACUUGAUUUCCUCAAAGGAUGCAUUCAGCUUGCUAACGAGAUGGGAAUGUCACCAUUUUCAUGUUGUAGAAACAAGAAUGUUCUGGGCUGGCUGAAUGAACUAAGUGGCCUCUGCACCUCUGGAAAAAUCAAGCAUAGCACCUGACUCAAAAAACUCUGAUGGAACUCCUUAUAUAAGGCAGGUUAAAAACAUGCAGAUCAUGGGAAAACACUUGCUACUUAAGAUGCAGAACUACAGUAUCCAGCUAGAAUGGCAGUGGCUGUGUGUGCAAACACCUCAUGUCUUUGCACCAACAGCUUUUA
Molecule: long non-coding RNA, 307 nt
Organism: Chiroxiphia lanceolata (lance-tailed manakin)
Lineage: Eukaryota; Metazoa; Chordata; Aves; Passeriformes; Pipridae
Exons: 3
Source: RefSeq, a predicted model, not a curated record